GAUGAACGCUGGCGGCGUGCCUAAUACAUGCAAGUCGAGCGAACGGACGAGAAGCUUGCUUCUCUGAUGUUAGCGGCGGACGGGUGAGUAACACGUGGAUAACCUACCUAUAAGACUGGGAUAACUUCGGGAAACCGUAGCUAAUACCGGAUAAUAUUUUGAACCGCAUGGUUCAAAAGUGAAAGACGGUCUUGCUGUCACUUAUAGAUGGAUCCGCGCUGCAUUAGCUAGUUGGUAAGGUAACGGCUUACCAAGGCAACGAUGCAUAGCCGACCUGAGAGGGUGGUCGGCCACACUGGAACUGAGACACGGUCCAGACUCCUACGGGAGGCAGCAGUAGGGAAUCUUCCGCAAUGGGCGAAAGCCUGACGGAGCAACGCCGCGUGAGUGAUGAAGGUCUUCGGAUCGUAAAACUCUGUUAUUAGGGAAGAACAUAUGUGUAAGUAACUGUGCACAUCUUGACGGUACCUAAUCAGAAAGCCACGGCUAACUACGUGCCAGCAGCCGCGGUAAUACGUAGGUGGCAAGCGUUAUCCGGAAUUAUUGGGCGUAAAGUGCGCGUAGGCGGUUUUUUAAGUCUGAUGUGAAAGCCCACGGCUCAACCGUGGAGGGUCAUUGGAAACUGGAAAACUUGAGUGCAGAAGAGGAAAGUGGAAUUCCAUGUGUAGCGGUGAAAUGCGCAGAGAUAUGGAGGAACACCAGUGGCGAAGGCGACUUUCUGGUCUGUAACUGACGCUGAUGUGCGAAAGCGUGGGGAUCAAACAGGAUUAGAUACCCUGGUAGUCCACGCCGUAAACGAUGAGUGCUAAGUGUUAGGGGGUUUCCGCCCCUUAGUGCUGCAGCUAACGCAUUAAGCACUCCGCCUGGGGAGUACGACCGCAAGGUUGAAACUCAAAGGAAUUGACGGGGACCCGCACAAGCGGUGGAGCAUGUGGUUUAAUUCGAAGCAACGCGAAGAACCUUACCAAAUCUUGACAUCCUUUGACAACUCUAGAGAUAGAGCCUUCCCCUUCGGGGGACAAAGUGACAGGUGGUGCAUGGUUGUCGUCAGCUCGUGUCGUGAGAUGUUGGGUUAAGUCCCGCAACGAGCGCAACCCUUAAGCUUAGUUGCCAUCAUUAAGUUGGGCACUCUAAGUUGACUGCCGGUGACAAACCGGAGGAAGGUGGGGAUGACGUCAAAUCAUCAUGCCCCUUAUGAUUUGGGCUACACACGUGCUACAAUGGACAAUACAAAGGGCAGCGAAACCGCGAGGUCAAGCAAAUCCCAUAAAGUUGUUCUCAGUUCGGAUUGUAGUCUGCAACUCGACUACAUGAAGCUGGAAUCGCUAGUAAUCGUAGAUCAGCAUGCUACGGUGAAUACGUUCCCGGGUCU
RNAcentral lists this ribosomal RNA (1372 nucleotides) under uncultured bacterium. RNAcentral's name for it is "bacterial SSU rRNA". It matches the Rfam family "Bacterial small subunit ribosomal RNA", at positions 28 to 1381 of the family's 1533-position model. The record is from RNAcentral.